UCGUCAUCGUCAGGAUCACGUAUCACGAGCUGCUCACCGCACCAAAUGAUAAGACUCUCGAUACUGUAAUUCGUAUUUCUUCCUCAACGUAACAACACUCUUAGUUUGCGAAGUACAAACUAAGCCCAAAUCUCAAAAGCUAAAGCUUAAGAGCCCAAAGUAUUACCCAGUUAUUAGCCCAAUGAAUACAGAGGCCCAAGACUAUUAUUUAUACAACUCCCGGACUCUAACUGCUCAACGACUUUCUCCCAAAGUUUGUUACGAUAAGUUCUUCUGCUGAUCAACCUCCUCUUGAUCUGCCACUCCACUGUUCUUCCCUUCCCUUAUCCUCUUGCGAUAAUAAACCCUCCAGCUCUUAUCAAUUUUAUUGUCUACUUUGUAGUUGUUUUGAACUUAUACAAAGUAAUGUCUAUGUAUGCUUGUACGAACUCAAAGAUCAAUAAGAAUCACUCUCUUAUUAGUUUAAGAAACUUACUC
This 477-nucleotide long non-coding RNA is filed under the name Brassica napus (rape). RNAcentral describes it as "long non-coding RNA (BNAP_LNC002556)". The record is from RNAcentral. Lineage: Eukaryota; Viridiplantae; Streptophyta; Magnoliopsida; Brassicales; Brassicaceae.